CAGAUAACUUCCUGGAAUGCUGGAGGUUGUGGUUCAAGUAAGAUAAGAAGCCACCAGUUUUCACUUCAAUAAACAAGGUUGGUUGUCCCAGUGUGCUGGAGGUGCGUCGGCAGAAAGUACAUCAGUAUGUAUGCUGGCUCCAAUAGAGAGAAGGCAGGAAAAGAUGUAACCUGUGAGGGUUGCCUUCAUAAUGCCAUGGACUAACACAACCCACAGCCGUUCUCUGGGAAUCCCAGGUGACCUCCAGUAUCUUGGUCCCACAUAGCUCAGGGUGAAGAGCUGAGUAAUCCUGAACCUGGGGCUGCUGCCGGAACAACCUUUCACACAGUGCCCACUGCUCCCGGUUGCACAACAUGUUUGACUGCGAGAGAUAAACGCCAGGUUUACAUUUGACUCCAGUCACCUUCGGGGCCAGCAGCCGGAGCCUGUAAACAGCACCCACUCCUUUAGAAAGGCGCGACUUUCCCAAAGUCCUGCCUUCCGAGCGCUGCGCCAGGCUGGGAGGAGGUGGACAAGGAAGGGGAGUAUUCCAAAGAAAAAGGAGGCUACAAGCAAGCUCUCGACUCUGUUUAGGAAGAAAAGGAAGAGCCGAGCUGAAGCAUUGGCCCUGCGGGGGGUGGGGGUGGGGCUCAUUUUGUGAACUGGAAUUUAAGAACUAAAACUAGUCCCCCUAACGUGUUUCUGUUUACCCAUCAGAAAUCAAUCUCUGAUUGGAGCAGGUACUUUUUCCUCCGUAAAACAGGCCAAAGAGGAAACGGAACUGUCUUAGUACUAAAAUAAUCUGUAAUUUAAUUGAUGUUGCAUGUUAGGCUUAUUGAAGACACCACUAUGAGAAGAUUCUGUGCUUUGUUUUCUGACACUGAAAACUGCAGGGUGGGGGCGAGAAAAAUCCCCCCACGACUUCACACAGGUUAUAGGAGGAAAACUAAUAGUCGAGAAGGAGGGAUUUCAGUGGAUUCUUUCAAGAAUAAACAUGUCUUACUCAGAUCUUGAAGCCUGUGACUAUCGAGUACAUCUAAGUACAUCGAGUUCCUUCUGUUGGUUGAAGCUAGGUUUGCUGCGUCUUGAGUCCAGAUGGAACAAUGACACUAAGACAAAGCCUUAAGCAAUUUUGUUUGCUAAUAAGAUGUCAGACCACUAAUGAAAGGGCAGCUUGCUUUGGCUUAGGAGAGCAAGCUUCCCAUAGAAAGCAGCUCCUAAGUGUGAAAGAGCAAUAUUUGAUUCCCUUCCUCCCUAGUGGUAAAAAAGAUGUUUUUGAGUGGCUAGCAGAGAGGAAGAGAAGGCUAGCCGUCUACUGAUAAGAUAGGAUCAUAGGAACAUUUGUUUGGUUUUGCUUUGCAGAUGGGGACUGAAGCCAGGGAAGCUUGCCUGCUAGGCAAGCACGCUGUCACUGAAUUAUCCCUCCCCACCCCCACCCCUCCGGCCCACAUAGGGAAAAUUCUGUAGUCGUUAAGAUCGCUGUCGGUCCAGCUGCCCUUCUCCAAGACUGAGUAAGACAUUGUGAGCUCUUUAAGAAGGAGAAUCACUUCAUAGUUAAAUUAUGCUCAUGGACAUUACACGUGCCCGUUCAUUAAUAUUUAGGGAACACACCGGCCUCAGCAGUUCCAAACACCUGAGUAUAGACAAUGCUUCUUCCAAUGUGGACAGGAGUAAAACACCAAAGUUCAUCUUCUGAAUAAUGAACCACCAGCUUCAGAGUGUAAAUGCUGCCUCCUCCAGAGGCUAAGGGCCUCUCUUCCCAACCCUACUCCCCUCUAUUCUCCCACUUCCUUCUCCC
RNAcentral lists this long non-coding RNA (1777 nucleotides) under Mus musculus (house mouse). RNAcentral describes it as "lincRNA-EC21". The record is from RNAcentral. Lineage: Eukaryota; Metazoa; Chordata; Mammalia; Rodentia; Muridae.